GAGUGACCGGGAAGAGCUCAAAUUUAAAAUCUGGCGCUUUGCGUCCGAGUUGUAAUCUAUAGAGGCGUUUUCCGCGCCGGUCCGCGUCCAAGUCCCUUGGAAUAGGGUAUCAAAGAGGGUGAGAAUCCCGUGCUUGACGCGACUGCCGGGGCUAUGUGAUACGCUCUCAACGAGUCGAGUUGUUUGGGAAUGCAGCUCUAAACGGGUGGUAAAUUCCAUCUAAGGCUAAAUAUUGGCGAGAGACCGAUAGCGAACAAGUACCGUGAGGGAAAGAUGAAAAGCACCCCGGAAGGGGAGUUAAAAAGUACGUGAAAUUGUUGAAAGGGAAACGAUUAAAGUCAGUCGUGCGUUGGGUGUUCAGCCUCACGGUGUAUUCACUCUUCGCGGGUCAACAUCGGUUUGGGGCGGGGGAAAAGGGUGGCAAGAAAGUGGCUCCUCGGAGUGUUAUAGCUUGCUGUCGCAUACCCCGCCACAGACCGAGGAUCGCAGCUCGCCUUUUAGGCCGGGGUUCGCCCACGUUCGAGCUUAGGAUGUUGGCAUAAUGGCUUUAAACGACCCG
RNAcentral lists this ribosomal RNA (559 nucleotides) under Vishniacozyma sp. Its description in RNAcentral is "eukaryotic LSU rRNA". It matches the Rfam family "Eukaryotic large subunit ribosomal RNA", at positions 91 to 651 of the family's 3401-position model. Lineage: Eukaryota; Fungi; Basidiomycota; Tremellomycetes; Tremellales; Bulleribasidiaceae. The record is from RNAcentral.